UACGAAGGGGGCGAGCGUUGUUCGGAAUUACUGGGCGUAAAGGGCGCGCAGGCGGCCUUAGAAGUCAGAUGUGAAAGCCCCGGGCUCAACCUGGGAAUGGCAUUUGAUACUCUGAGGCUGGAGUACGGGAGAGGAGAGUGGAAUUCCCAGUGUAGAGGUGAAAUCGUAGAUAUUGGGAAGAACACCGGUGGCGAAGGCGGCUCUCUGGACCGUAACUGACGCGUG
RNAcentral lists this ribosomal RNA (225 nucleotides) under uncultured bacterium. RNAcentral's name for it is "partial 16S ribosomal RNA". It matches the Rfam family "Bacterial small subunit ribosomal RNA", at positions 524 to 748 of the family's 1533-position model. The record is from RNAcentral.